This 262-nucleotide non-coding RNA is filed under the name Lysinibacillus sphaericus. RNAcentral's name for it is "T-box sequence". It matches the Rfam family "T-box leader". Rfam says of the family: Uncharged tRNA acts as the effector for transcription antitermination of genes in the T-box leader family. The record is from RNAcentral. Lineage: Bacteria; Bacillati; Bacillota; Bacilli; Caryophanales; Bacillaceae.
UUGUAGGCCUAGAUUGGAAAUAGUAGAGAUGUCUGUGUACUUGUAGAGAACCGGUGGGUGGUGCAAACCGGGAGACACACAUUUUGAACUCGUCCAUGAGCUACUCCCUGAACUAUAACUUCGCCAAAGCGUAGUGAAUAAAGUAAGGGAUGUCGGAUUCCCCCGUUAUAAGGAUAGACAGUAAUAGCUGUUGAUAAGGGGACUUUUUCUGUAAAGAAAAAGUCAAUUAGAGUGGUACCGCGAGCAAAAACUCGUCUCUAUA